CAGCCGCCACGGUAAUACAGAGGAUGCAAGCGUUAUCCGGAAUGAUUGGGCGUAAAGCGUCUGUAGGUGGCUUUUCAAGUCCGCCGUCAAAUCCCCGGGCUCAACCUGGGAAUGGCAGUGGAUACUGGCUCGCUAGAGUGUGUCAGAGGAUGGUGGAAUUCCCGGUGUAGCGGUGAAAUGCGUAGAGAUCGGGAGGAACAUCAGUGGCGAAGGCGGCCAUCUGGGACAACACUGACGCUGAGGCACGAAAGCGUGGGGAGCAAACAGGAUUAGAUACCCCCGUAGUCCCUGUCUCUUAUAC
This 301-nucleotide ribosomal RNA is filed under the name uncultured bacterium. RNAcentral's name for it is "partial 16S ribosomal RNA". It matches the Rfam family "Bacterial small subunit ribosomal RNA", at positions 509 to 807 of the family's 1533-position model. The record is from RNAcentral.